CCUCAGUCUCGCACCGCCAGUCACCGCAGCCUCGGUUGUUCGCCGACCCUUGGGGUAUAGCAGCCCCUACCUCUCACUCUCAUGAAUUCUUGUCCGCGGACCCAGGAUUGGUUAUCAGUGCACCUGUUUUCCGCUUUUUGUUCGUUCGCUUAAGUUCUCCAAUCAACCAGCGACUGGUGGUAGUUCACUUGUUUGAUAUACGUGUUACUAAGUACUCCAUUGAGCUAACUAGAUGUGUGACGCCGUGGUAUCAAUAUGAUGCUAAAAUCACAGCAACUCGAGGUUGGGGAUUUUCGAUGGAAUAGGGAUACGAAAUUUGAGAUGCAUCUUAUUUCUUUUUCCCUAGCAAUCUAUAUGGUCACUUUUUCAUUCGCUAGUGAAUCCUCGGUCGGCAAUGUUGUUAAAGUGACCCCUCAAAGGUGUCUAAUGCGCAGGAACUUUCUGCCGUGGCAUGCUCGGUUUGGUUAAUUUGAUCAUUCCAACAGACAUACAUACACUAAUGGUUUUUGUGCACACAUAUACGCUGUGGUGAACAUCUGUCAUGGAAGGGUCUGAAUCUAUUAGGAGUCACAACAAAAGAGAUGUUGAGGAUAAUGUUAAUGCCAGGUCCGGUUUGAAAGAGGAAGAAGAGCAAGAUAAUGUU
Molecule: long non-coding RNA, 643 nt
Filed under: Brachypodium distachyon (stiff brome)
Lineage: Eukaryota; Viridiplantae; Streptophyta; Magnoliopsida; Poales; Poaceae
Description: long non-coding RNA (BDIS_LNC003433)
Source: RNAcentral